Molecule: long non-coding RNA, 583 nt
Filed under: Homo sapiens (human)
Lineage: Eukaryota; Metazoa; Chordata; Mammalia; Primates; Hominidae
Description: HSALNT0374485
Source: RNAcentral
GCCUGCUGCCACGUAAGACAUUUCUUUGCAUUUCUUUCAUUUUCCACCAUGAUUGUGAGGCCUCCCCAGCCAUGUGGAACUGUAAGUCAACUAAAUUUCUUUCUUUUAUAAAUUAUCCAGUCUCGGGUAUGUCUUUAUUAGAAGCAUGAGAACAGACUAAUAUAAGUAUGUCGAAGAGAUGCCUGUACUCCCAUGUUUAUUGCAGCAUUAUUCACAAUAGCUAUGUUAUGGAAUCAACCUAAGCAUCCAUCGAGGGAUGAAUGGGUAAUGAGAAUGUGGUGUAUACACAAUGGAAUACUAUUCAGCCUUAAAAAAGGAAGAAAUUCUGUCCUUUGUGGCAGCAUAGAGGGAACUGGAGAUCAAUAUGCUAAGUGAAAUAAGCCAAUACACAAAGACAAAUGCCACAUGUUCUGCCUACAUGUGAAAUCUAAAACAGUUGAGCUCUUAGAAGCAGAGAGUGGAAUGGUAGUUACCUGAGACUGGGGACUGGGGAGUAGGGAAUGAGAAGAUGAUAAUCAAAGGGCACAAAGCCUCAGUUAGAUAGAGGAAAGAAAUGUGAGGCUUUUUUUGAUCAAUUGCACAG